UACAGAGGUGGCAAGCGUUGUUCGGAAUUACUGGGCGUAAAGGGCGCGUAGGCGGUUCGGUAAGUCCUGUGUGAAAUCCCUCGGCUCAACUGAGGAACUGCACGGGAGACUGCCGGGCUUGAGUUCGGGAGAGGGAAGCGGAAUUCCGGGUGUAGCGGUGAAAUGCGUAGAUAUCCGGAGGAACACCGGUGGCGAAGGCGGCUUCCUGGACCGACACUGACGCUGAGGCGCGAAAGCUAGGGGAGCAAAC
Molecule: ribosomal RNA, 250 nt
Filed under: uncultured bacterium
Lineage: Bacteria
Description: partial 16S ribosomal RNA
Rfam family: Bacterial small subunit ribosomal RNA
Source: RNAcentral